This 552-nucleotide ribosomal RNA is filed under the name uncultured Acaryochloris sp. RNAcentral describes it as "bacterial SSU rRNA". It matches the Rfam family "Bacterial small subunit ribosomal RNA", at positions 28 to 610 of the family's 1533-position model. Lineage: Bacteria; Bacillati; Cyanobacteriota; Cyanophyceae; Acaryochloridales; Acaryochloridaceae. The record is from RNAcentral.
CGAUAACGCUGGCGGUAUCCUACACGAUUCAUGUCGAACGGCAGCACGACGAGCUUGCUCACUUGGUGGCGAGUGCGACGGGUGAGUAACGCGUGAGAAUCUACCUUCAGGUCUGGGACAACAGUUGGAAACGACUGCUAAUACCGGAUGUGCCUUAGGGUGAAAGUUUUUUCGCCUGAAGAUGAGCUCGCGUCUGAUUAGUUAGUUGGUGGGGUAAAGGCUUACCAAGACAUCGAUCAGUAGCUGGUCUGAGAGGACGAUCAGCCACACUGGGACUGAGACACGGCCCAGACUCCUACGGGAGGCAGCAGUGGGGAAUUUUCCGCAGUGGGCGAAAGCCUGACGGAGCAAUACCGCGUGCGGGAGGAAGGCCUUUGGGUCGUAAACCGCUUUUAACAGGGAAGACGAUCUGACGGUACCUGUUGAAUAAGCCUCGGCUAACUCCGUUGCAAGCAGCCGCGGUAAGACGGAAGAGGCAAGCGUUCUCCGGAAUUUUUGGGCUUAAACGUCCCGCGGUGUCCUAUCCAGUAUUGUAGUAAAAGCCCAGUGGCU